UGGCGAACGGGUGAGUAUAGCAUCGGAACGUGCCAAGUAGUGGGGGAUAACCAAGCGAAAGUUUGGCUAAUACCGCGUAAGCUCUAAGGAGGAAAGUAGGGGACCGCAAGGCCUUACGCUAUUUGAUCGGCCGAUGUCGGAUUAGCUAGUUGGUGAGGUAAUGGCUCACCAAGGCGAUGAUCCGUAGCGGGUCUGAGAGGACGAUCCGCCACACUGGGACUGAGACACGGCCCAG
Molecule: ribosomal RNA, 235 nt
Filed under: uncultured Neisseriales bacterium
Lineage: Bacteria; Pseudomonadati; Pseudomonadota; Betaproteobacteria; Neisseriales
Description: partial 16S ribosomal RNA
Rfam family: Bacterial small subunit ribosomal RNA
Source: RNAcentral